GUUGCGUGCUCGCUCGCGCCAGGCGAGUCUCCGCGUCUCCCUCGCGAACUCGGUGAAAGGAAUUGGCGCCGUUCGACAACCAGGCGGGUCCGCUCUGCAGCACGAACCCAUCUCCAGCCGCAGCUGCCGCCCGGGCCGAGGAGCAGCCGUCGCCGCCGCCACCAGUGGCCGAGGGAGCGGAGCCGAGGUUGAACCAGCACCCAGCGGUGAAUCGGGGCCCUCACCAUGAGUUCCUCGCCUGUUAAUGUAAAAAAGCUGAAGGUGUCGGAGCUGAAAGAGGAGCUCAAGAAGCGGCGCCUUUCCGACAAGGGUCUCAAGGCCGAGCUCAUGGAUCGACUCCAGGCUGCGCUGGACGACGAGGAGGCCGGAGGCCGCCCCGCCAUGGAGCCCGGGAACGGCAGCCUAGACCUGGGCGGGGAUUCCGCCGGGCGCUCGGGAGCAGGCCUCGAGCAGGAGGCCGCGGCCGGAGGCGACGAGGAGGAAGAGGAGGAGGAAGAAGGGAUUGCCGCGCUGGACGGCGACCAGAUGGAGCUAGGGGAGGAGAACGGGGCCGCGGGGGCGGCCGACUCGGGCCCGAUGGAGGAGGAGGAGGCCGCCUCGGAAGACGAGAACGGCGACGAUCAGGGUUUCCAGGAAGGGGAAGACGAGCUCGGAGACGAGGAGGAGGGCGCGGGCGACGAGAACGGGCACGGGGAGCAGCAGCCUCAACCGCCGGCGACGCCGCAGCAACAGCCCCCACAGCAGCGCGGGGCCGCCAAGGAGGCCGCGGGGAAGAGCAGCGGCCCCACCUCGCUGUUCGCGGUGACGGUGGCGCCGCCCGGGGCGAGGCAGGGCCAGCAGCAGGCGGGAGGUAAGAAGAAGGCGGAAGGCGGCGGAGGCGGCGGUCGCCCCGGGGCUCCGGCGGCGGGAGACGGCAAAACAGAACAGAAAGGCGGAGAUAAAAAGAGAGGUGUUAAAAGACCUCGAGAAGAUCAUGGCCGAGGAUAUUUUGAGUACAUUGAAGAAAACAAGUACAGCAGAGCCAAGUCUCCUCAGCCACCUGUUGAAGAAGAAGAUGAGCACUUCGAUGACACAGUGGUUUGUCUUGAUACUUAUAAUUGUGAUCUACAUUUUAAAAUAUCAAGAGAUCGCCUCAGUGCUUCUUCCCUUACUAUGGAGAGUUUUGCUUUUCUUUGGGCUGGAGGAAGGGCAUCUUAUGGUGUGUCAAAAGGCAAAGUCUGCUUUGAGAUGAAGGUUACAGAGAAGAUCCCAGUAAGGCAUUUAUAUACUAAAGAUAUUGACAUACAUGAAGUUCGAAUUGGCUGGUCACUGACUACAAGUGGAAUGUUGCUUGGUGAAGAAGAAUUUUCGUAUGGGUAUUCUCUAAAAGGAAUAAAAACAUGCAACUGUGAGACAGAAGAUUACGGAGAGAAGUUUGAUGAAAAUGAUGUUAUUACAUGUUUCGCUAAUUUUGAAAAUGAUGAAGUAGAACUCUCCUAUGCUAAGAAUGGACAAGAUCUUGGUGUUGCCUUCAAAAUUAGUAAGGAAGUUCUUGCUGGACGGCCACUCUUUCCACAUGUUCUCUGCCACAACUGUGCAGUUGAAUUUAAUUUUGGUCAGAAGGAAAAGCCAUAUUUUCCAAUACCUGAAGACUAUACUUUUAUCCAAAAUGUCCCCUUAGAGGAUCGAGUUAGAGGACCAAAGGGGCCUGAAGAGAAGAAAGAUUGUGAAGUUGUGAUGAUGAUUGGCUUGCCAGGAGCUGGAAAAACUACCUGGGUGACAAAACAUGCAGCUGAAAAUCCUGGUAAAUACAACAUUCUUGGAACAAAUACAAUUAUGGAUAAAAUGAUGGUGGCAGGUUUUAAGAAGCAAAUGGCAGAUACUGGAAAACUGAACACACUGUUGCAAAGAGCCCCACAGUGUCUUGGAAAGUUUAUUGAGAUUGCUGCCCGUAAGAAGCGAAAUUUCAUUCUGGAUCAGACAAAUGUAUCUGCUGCUGCCCAGAGGAGAAAAAUGUGCCUGUUUGCAGGUUUCCAACGAAAAGCUGUUGUAGUUUGUCCAAAAGAUGAAGACUAUAAGCAGAGAACACAGAAGAAAGCAGAAGUAGAGGGGAAAGACCUACCAGAGCAUGCAGUCCUUAAAAUGAAAGGAAACUUUACUCUGCCAGAAGUGGCUGAGUGCUUUGAUGAAAUAACCUAUGUUGAACUUCAGAAGGAAGAAGCCCAAAAACUUCUGGAGCAAUAUAAGGAAGAAAGCAAAAAGGCACUUCCACCAGAAAAGAAACAGAACACUGGCUCAAAGAAGAGCAAUAAAAACAAGAGUGGCAAGAACCAGUUUAACCGAGGUGGUGGCCACAGAGGACGUGGAGGAUUCAAUAUGCGUGGUGGAAACUUCAGGGGAGGAGCUCCUGGAAAUCGUGGUGGAUAUAAUAGGCGGGGCAACAUGCCACAGAGAGGUGGUGGCGGUGGUGGAAGUGGCGGAAUUGGCUAUCCCUACCCUCGUGGCCCUGUUUUUCCUGGCCGAGGUGGCUACUCAAACAGAGGGAACUACAACAGAGGUGGAAUGCCCAACAGAGGGAACUAUAACCAGAAUUUCAGAGGACGAGGAAACAAUCGUGGCUACAAAAAUCAAUCUCAGGGCUACAACCAGUGGCAGCAGGGUUCUGUCCAUGUGAAUGUGCUGUGUGGAAGAGUAAAAGGGCCCAACUAAAUGUGUUCCAGUGAUUCUAAUAGGUAUUCCAAAUUAAUUGAUGCUUGUAUAUUUAACAGUUGUUAUGUUAGGUUUCCGGGAUCACCUUAAUAAAACUUACUAAAAGAUGGGGAAGAAUAAUUGGUAACCUUGAUGUACAGGUUAUAUAACAAAGUUUCCUAAUUUCUCCCUUGAAUACCUGAAGUGAAAUACUUGGUGUUUUCUUUGCAGUCGAUGGUACUCUUGCAUAUAGGAAUACAUGCAAAGACCCAAGUCCUUUCCUUCUGUUUAACUUUUUAUACAACACAUAAUAUUCUCCCUACUUGUAGCAGUUAAUAUUUCCAGAGUUCCGAUGUGAAAUAGGUGUAGGAUACUUUUCUGUCUUUAGUUUCCCAAAAUCUUUGUUCUUUUUAUACUAAAUAUAUAGAAAAACCAGGAAAACAGACUUGAGGUCCUUUUGGGUAAUGAAGUGAUAUAAAUUCAUAUUUCAAAGUGUAAAAUCAACUAGAAACUAAAUUUUGAACUUUUGGUAUGAGCUAUGCCCGUCCAGAGCAUUUAAUCUAUUCUAAGUCCAAAGUUAUUAAAGACUUGAUAAGCUUAGAGGAAAUUUAUUUUUCCCCCACUAUAUUCUCCAGAAUAAUGUCUUCAGGUGAAACAAGAGGACUUGGGUGCAGGUCUGAUAACAGUGUCACUAUCAGGAUUUGCUCAAUGCAAUAUGGCUCUACUCUUAAAAAAUCAACUUAAUGGCUUCUAAAGAGCAGGCACCUCAAGGUUUCAUGACCAUUUCUGUUUUUAUGAGGAAAAACCGUAAUAGAAAAAUAAACAUUUUUUUCAAAAAUGAGCUUUGAAUUUAUGUGGUAAGGCAUGUUUUGUUUCACAUGAUUUCAUGGUAUAGUGCAAGAAACAUUUCUAUGGAAACCCAUCCUUCCUUUAAGAAAUCAGUGUGUGCAGAGAAUGAUAUCCCCUAAGGGUGUGCCAUGUAAUAGGUGGUUUAUUAGAACUUAAUUCCUAGAAACACGGCGGAAGAGAUGCCACCCUAUAGGUUGACCUACACUUAAAGUGAACAAAAGAAAUCUUUCGACUAUUAAUGUAAUCAGUGAUAACCUCAAGAUACUCAGUGUCAUCCUUACUCUAGAAAAUGGAAGAGUAAGGUGAAUGCAGUGGUUGAAAAGCACUCAACUAUUUGAAACAUUGUAGUGCUCACAUUAUAAGCUUUAAAAUGGAGUUCUCUGAAAAAUGUCCUCAAUGUAAUUUAUUCCAGCAGCUUUCCCUUAUUAAGAAAAAGUUUUAAAACAUUUCAAAGUGGAAUUUAAUGUACAAAACAAGCUGUGUAAAAAUACCAGUAUUUGGGUGGUAGUGGAUAUAUUAUUGACACAUUGAACUGCUAAUUAUUGGACUAUUUUAAGAUGCUUCCAAAAAUUAUUUCAUUCUAGAGGACCAUUAUAAACCAGAGUUAUAGCAAUUGUUUUAAUUUUUCUACUUUCCUCAUUAAGGUCUGCUUUACCCAAAGAAUAGUGUAUAUUUUAACAUGACUUAAAGGGGUGUUUACCCCAUCACAGAUUUUUAUCUGGGAAUAGAAGGAUUCAAACCCUAUUUGAUCCCUAGCUCUUUGCUGAAAAGUGCAUAAACAGGAAUCCUGAAUUUAUUAUAUAGACCUCCUCGCAUUAUAUAAUCGAAGCAAAGGGAAACCAGCGAUGGAGUUAGAGGUACGUAGACUAAAGAGAUGCUUGCAAAUACAAUAAUGGUUCUAGAGUAGUCAAGAUUUCUUGUUGCCGAAUUCAGUCAAUAUAAACACAAGUUCAGAGAAAUAAUUUUUAAAAGCCCUGAGGUCCUUUUACUGAGAUGGAAAAUCAAGUAGUCCAGCCAAAAGGAGGGGUGAGGGAAGGGGGAAUACAUAAAGCACUUAGAAAGAUUUUCAAAGCAGGUAUGAUAGAUAAGCUACAAAAAGUUUUCAAAACUAACAACUGUAAUUCUAUUUUAAUCAGCUACUUAGCUGGUACCCACUGCUAUAUCACCUAGUGUGAAAUUUUGGAAUUAUGGAGCAAUGGAGGUACGCUGGAAGCUCUCAAGUGGGCGUGGAAGGUCUCCAGUUUGUGCAGGCAUUCUGCUGUGAAAAUGAACUGACCUUAUUUAAUGGUGAAGUCAUUGGAAAUUUUACCAAUCAAGAGAGGUUUCUCUCUUUGAGGGUAAGAUGUAAUUGAAGUAUGAUAGAACUAGGACUUUACUUAAUCCAGCUGCCCAGUUUUACAGAUUAAAUAUGUUAGUAAACUGAAGCUAUGUACAUAAGUAGUUGCCCAACCAGUUUGUUAAAUAUCAGAUUAUUGAUUAGUGCUCAAUAUUUCCCCCAGUCAUUGUUGCCUCUUAAAAACAUGGGGGACAAUCCCAUUGAAUUUCUAAUUUGAUCAUGACCAGUUCAAAUAAUGUAGAUUGUUGGUUUGUGCCAGUGAAUGGUCAGAUUUUACAAGCGCUCCAUUCCAGUAACUUAACUUUAUUAAUGACCCAAGUCCUCAUAAUGUGUUGGACAUCACACAGCCUCUGUAAUACUCACAGUAAUAGCCACAAGCUGGGGAGGAGGGGGAAAAGCUUUCUGAACAGAACUGAACUAAUCUGCACCUUUCCUUUGAAAAAGAAUGCAGGACAAGGACUAAUACUUUCGAGAUAAUCUCAUUUCAGAUUCAUUUUGAUGCAUCAAAAAGGACCAAUAAUGGCCAUAAUCUCCUUUGGUGUCUUUCCUCCCCACCCCCAUGUCUCUUUUUGCAUUAAGAAUCUAUCAACCUGUUAUAUUUAAUAGAUAUUUUUCCUCCCUCAGAGACAGGGUGUGACCAUGUUGCCCAGGCUGGUCUUGAACUCCUGGGCUCCUUUUUCAUGCUCCUGAAUAGCUGUGACAACAGAUGUACAUACCACUGUGCUCAUCUUAAUAGAUUUUCUUAAGUAAUGUUGAUACGUAUUAAACAUAAAAUAGCUUCAUUUCACAAGAAAGGAAGAUAGAAAAGUAAAUAUUGGGAAUUUGAUUUUUUAAAAGUGGUGAUUUUAACUGGAUUAAUAAAAUGUAUGAUUCUGCAAUUCUUUACACCAGUCUUAACAUUUUUCUCUCUUUUUUUUUUUGAGUGCUGGGGAUCGAACUCAGCCAGCCUUAACAUUUUCAAACUAUUUUCAUAUACACUAUGUGAUUAAUUUCAAAACUAAUUUCACUUAAAAGUGAAAACACUGUAUACUUCCAAAGAUGCACUGAGAGCAGUUGAAAAGCACGUGAUUUUUGUUUUUUAGUCAGAUCUUAAAAUCCAAGAUUCUGUUUCUUAAUCUCAACAAUCUCAACAUUAAACUCAUUACUUCUUCCAAGAAAACUUUUCCAGGUAUAUUAAACAUACUGCCAAUAAAUUCUUCAUGUUCUAGAUGUGAUAACACCCACUAUAUUGUAAUACUUGAUAUGCUGGCAGUUAGCAAGUUUUCAUACAAGUAAAAAAGACUACAACUUAGACAUAAUUCAUUUACUUGAUUUUAUUGUACAUAAUAUUUUAUGUGGCUGGUCCCAGUGUUCACACUGACUUGAGGGAGAUGUUUUGGAUUUCUAUGCUCAUAGUUGUUCAAUUGCUGCUGCUGCUGCUGUUUUGUUUUCUUUCAGGAUCAAGGUGGGUGCUUUCAUAUAAAAUCUGAUUUUUAAUCCCUUCUCUGGCAAUUCUUUCCUGGAUUCUUUGCUUUGCAUAAUUAUACCUACAGGGAAACCUUGUAAGAAAAGAAAGGAUAAAUUACUCAUAUAAAGUUUCUAUAGUAAUUUAUGGAAUUUAACCUGCUCUUUAAAAUUUAAAAAUGCUUACAGGUGAUUGACUACCCAAGGCAAAAAUAAGUGGUGUAAUUUGGAGUGUUGUUUUUGGGUGGUUUGGUAUCAGAAUACUUAGGUGAGUUACAUCCAUGGAGUAUUAGCUGAGCUUAAAUGGAAUCACAUAGUAGUGUAUGUUGUACUUUGGUUUGACUUAUCUUGUCCAAAAAUACAUAUUUGAAAUUUCAGUAGAGAAGAAUAAGGGAUGAUAAACCAUUGGGGGAAGGUAAAUAUUUGAGGCCUUACUAAAAAUAGAAACUAUUAACUUAGCAUUAAUGGAAAAUCUAUUAGUAAUCUGUUCAGGCAUUCAACAAAUGAUAAGGAUAUUCAUACACAUGUACCUGCAUGUAUAAAUCGCUUUUGUAAAGGUAAAAGCAGUAUUGUAAGAUUCCCAAGAGUCUUCAAUGAGGGUUGGAAUCUUCUAAUGAGAUUUCUCUGAAAAGAGUGUGCUUUUGAAUUUUAGGUAACCUAUAAACUCAUGAAAUUUUAGGAAUACUUCAAACAUACCAACAUCCUAAAGUCACCAAGAUAAAUCCUCCUACUCCAACAUCACAUGAUCUUCUAAUUCUACCUGUUGAAAAUAAGCAUGACCACUAUAACUAGAAUAUAAUCAUAUGUGUAUGCAUAGACUAGGUAAUCCAUCUUGAAAAACUGCUCAGAGAAAUAAACAUACUCACUAGUUAACAAAAAAUGUCCAAGUCCAGCCACAACAGAUCCCAGUGAACCAUAUAAUAUCGAAUCCCGUGCACAGGGAGUGUUUUCAACAUCUAAAAUUCCUAGGAGCUUAAAGGGCUAGGAUAAAAUAGAAAAGAACCUAGAUUGAACAAGAAAAUGUUUUAGUUCAGGUUGACUUGACAAAGAUUAUAAUUAUUUGACUCUAUCACAGAGCAUAUAUAUAAAAGCAUAACUUGGGAAACAAAAGUAAAUUUAGUUUUAAAACUUAUUGAAUAGUGUUGUUAGAAAUUAAAAAGCUGUUUAGGCAAACAUCAAUUGUGGUUUUAUCAUUUCAUGUUAAUAUGAACAUGGGCAAUGCAUUUCUUCUGAUUGCUAGGGUAUUUUUUUGCCUGUGAAUUGAGUCUGCUGUAUUUGAUUGAUGAUAAGCUGGGAGUCUGCAGAGAGCUGAAUUUUUGUCUCAGUUGAUUAAAACAACUUCUCUUCCUCCACAUUUAACUGGGAUGUCUCUCACUCUUAAUUCUGUAUUUCAGGGCUUUGGGGAGAGACAGACAUUUAAAUUUAACCGACAUUUCUGUUAAACCUGGAGGGUUGGGGUUAGGGUUAGAGAAUGUAUAGAAGUGCUUAGCAGAGCAGUUAGGGUAUAAUAAGUGCUGAGUGUCGCCCAAGGGAAAAAAGUCUUAGAACAUGAGAAUGAUAGCUUUAAGUAACAUUGCUUUUUAAAGGAAGUAGCCACCUGUCCAUUUAAAGGUUUUCACAUUACUAAAGUAUAGUGUUGGGGCCAUUUUGGGAGGAUUCUAUUCUGUAGGAUGAAGAAUCCUACAGAUAACCAUGAAAGCAAUGUAUUUUGAGGGAAAAGAGCAUGAAAGAAAUGCAUAAAGGACAGGAAGAGGCAAGUCAUGUUACAUGAUAAUUGUAUUUCCAUUUAUGUUUGCUUUGGCUCAAGCAUCUGCUGGAAAAGACAAUGCCUUGGUUCAUAUUAAAAAUUGCAUACUCUUCAAUGAUGGUCUUGUAUUUCUCCUCUUUGCCUCC
Sciurus carolinensis (gray squirrel) is the source of this 8188-nucleotide RNA transcript. It is a transcript of the gene named heterogeneous nuclear ribonucleoprotein U, with no coding region annotated. Lineage: Eukaryota; Metazoa; Chordata; Mammalia; Rodentia; Sciuridae. The transcript has 16 exons. The record is from RefSeq and is a predicted model, not a curated record.